This is a transfer RNA of Setaria italica (foxtail millet), 71 nucleotides long. It matches the Rfam family "tRNA". Rfam says of the family: Transfer RNA (tRNA) molecules are approximately 80 nucleotides in length. Lineage: Eukaryota; Viridiplantae; Streptophyta; Magnoliopsida; Poales; Poaceae. The record is from Rfam.
GCAAGCGUAGUUCAGUGGUAAAACAUUUCCUUGCUAAGGAGAAGAAACGGGUUCGAUUCCUGUCGCUCACC